RNAcentral lists this unclassified non-coding RNA (285 nucleotides) under Hevea brasiliensis (rubber tree). Lineage: Eukaryota; Viridiplantae; Streptophyta; Magnoliopsida; Malpighiales; Euphorbiaceae. The record is from RNAcentral.
GGUUGAGUUAGAUCCACCAUUGAUGGUUGUUUUUGGUUAAUUGGGUGGUGGCAUGCAAGCUGCACGCGUCAAUAGGGAUGGAACCUGUUACUUGUGCAGAGCAAAGAAGUGUUUGAUGUUGGCCAGCUUUGUUUCACUGUUUUAGGGACGUGAGGUUUUCUUCUUCGUUCGUUGGUGGCUGGGAGGGUAGAGCGCAAGUGGGUCGCUCGUCGAUCAGAGGUACUGACGCGUUCUUGGGUGCUAAUGGUGCGAAUUGCUUUCUCUUGAGUUCCCGUGCCUUCUAUU